Molecule: ribosomal RNA, 226 nt
Filed under: uncultured bacterium
Lineage: Bacteria
Description: partial 16S ribosomal RNA
Rfam family: Bacterial small subunit ribosomal RNA
Source: RNAcentral
GCGUUGUUCGGAAUUAUUGGGCGUAAAGCGCGUGUAGGCGGCCAAGCAAGUCGGGUGUGAAAGCCCUCGGCUUAACCGAGGAAGUGCGCCCGAAACUACUUGGCUUGAGUACCGGAGAGGAUGGCGGAAUUCCCGGUGUAGAGGUGAAAUUCGUAGAUAUCGGGAGGAACACCAGUGGCGAAGGCGGCCAUCUGGACGGAUACUGACGCUGAGACGCGAAAGCGUG